Molecule: ribosomal RNA, 253 nt
Filed under: uncultured bacterium
Lineage: Bacteria
Description: partial 16S ribosomal RNA
Rfam family: Bacterial small subunit ribosomal RNA
Source: RNAcentral
UACGUAGGGUGCGAGCGUUAAUCGGAAUUACUGGGCGUAAAGGGUGCGUAGGCGGUUCGGAAAGAAGGAUGUGAAAUUCCAGGGCUCAACCUUGGGACGGCAUUUUUAACUACCGAGCUAGAGUGUGUCAGAGGGGGGUGGAAUUCCGCGUGUAGCAGUGAAAUGCGUAGAGAUGCGGAGGAACACCGAUGGCGAAGGCAGCCUCCUGGGAUGACACUGACGCUGAGGCACGAAAGCGUGGGGAGCAAACAGG